AUGGACCCACCCUGUAAAUUAUUCAAGCACAAUGAUGGUACCUCCACUCGAGCUAAAUGGUUCGACUUUGAGGCUUUUAACCAGGCAGCUGCGCAAUUAGUAAGCAAUUGUCAAGUUUUGCAUGCAACACUUAGUAGUCUCGCUGCAGCACGCAGUGGUGUGUCUAAUGAGCGUCCUUGUCCAACUCAUUCUGAACCUAUUGCUGAUGAUGCAUCCGAAACACAGCCGGAUUUUCCUGUAGCCACGAAUGUUACUGUUGCAGGGACUGUUGUUACUCAGGAUACCGAUGAAUGUCUUAUUACUGAGCCUUCUUUCACCCCUGAACGGGUGGGUGCACCCAGAGCACAUGCUUAUCAGGGGGCUGAUGCUACUGUAUCUGUUGCUGUUGCUGUUGCUGACGCAUCACCACACAGCCCCUCAAGUGUUAACCAUACACAAACACAUGCUGCAGUAGUUGAGCCCAUUGUUCAGUCAGGGUCUGGCAGUCACAGUCAGCUUAGCAUCAGAGAGAUACCUAAUUUCAACGCCCGAGAAUUGCGCGAGCGCCUUGAUUUUAGGGACAUAAGUCUUGAUGAUCCAGAACAAGUGCCAGAAAGAGUUAGAAGCUGCCUAGCUAAUGUGAUAGAUAGAGCAGUGGCUGGAUCUCAGCAGGGUUGUGUUCUAAAUGUGGUCCUCCGUGGGCCCUCGUUGGCUUCUGAUGUUCAAGCUGUUUUAAAUCCUGAUGAUCAGUAUGACCCUGACCUGUUUCUCGACCAAAUAGCACAAGUUAUGCAAAGUAACGACAAAUCUAUCGGUGAUGAUGAAUUAGAGUUUAUUGUCACGGUUGCACAAAAUAGUAGCGGUGGGGCUCGCUUAAAACUGGCAAACAUCCCUUAUGAUGACAUUCUCUCAAAGAAGGGUAAACAUUUGUAUACACCAAACAAUACGCACAACAGUUUGUGCUUCUCCCUUUGCAUAGCACAUUCAUUAAACCCAACAGCCCCCGAGCAUGAAAAAUAUGCUACUGCUAAACAGUUACAUGUUCAAGUAGGUCUAUGCGACACACAGACAGUAUCAUUCUCAGAUGUCUGCAAAUUUGAGAAACACCUAAACAUUAAGAUAGUAAUCUAUUAUCACGCAGCAGGGCGUAAACGUCUGCAUACUUUUUUCACACAUGAUGAGCCAAAUCCAAACACUGUAAUGUUGUACUUACACAAUGAACACUAUCACCUGAUUGAAAAGCCCACAGCUUUUCUAGGGGCAGGCUAUGUGUGUAAUUUUUGUUACAAUACAUAUGAAUCACCGCUCUAUCACAGCUGUAAACAUAGAUGCAACGUAUGUUUCACACUCUGUCACCACCACAGAGGUCCAGCCGUGAAAUGCAGUGACUGUAACCGCAUCUGCAAAUCACAACACUGUUACCAACAACACAAAUUACCAGAAAUAAAACACAACAUGGUCCCGUGUGACAAUAUGAAGCACUGCAUGAGUUGUGGUGUCACAUAUAAAGAAUCAAAGAAAUCACCACACAGAUGUGUCCAGCCUAAAUGCGAGCACUGCCGUGAGCCUAAAUUAGCCGGGGACUCUGAGCAUCAGUGUUUCAUACAGCCUGUUGAACAACAGAAGCCUUGUGAGAAAUAUAUUUUAUAUGAUUUUGAGACACGGUAUCACAACGGCAAACAUGAGGCCAACUUUGUGUGUGCGUCUGAUCUGAAGGGCAACAAGUUCUCAUUUAAUACGUUAAAAUGUGUGGCGGCGUUUGUGCAGCAUUACAGACGCCCGAGGUUUCGUGGGUACACGUUCAUAGCACAUAACGCAUCCGGAUUCGAUAAUUACAUACUUUUGGAGUACUUCGUCAAGCAAUGUAUAACACCUACCGUCACAAUGAGAGGGAGCCGUGUGAUUUUGAUGCAUGACAAGGAGUAUGACCAGCGGUGGAUUGAUUCGUUCAGCUUUUUGCCCAUGGGUCUUGCCAAAAUACCCUCUGCUUUAGGUUUUCAAGACCUGCAGAAGGGCCAUUUCCCACACAGAUUCAACACUAGGGAUAAUGAGUAUUAUGUCGGUCCAUACCCGGAUCCCUCCUUCUAUGGCUAUGAGCGCAUGUCUGAAAGUGGUAAGGCGAGCUUCAUGGAAUGGUACCAGACUGCCUCACAGAACACCUUUGAUUUUCAGGCUGAACUCAGGCGCUACUGUGUUAACGAUGUUGAUGUCCUGCGUAAAGCAUGUACCAUAUAUCGUGACACUCUGUUGGGUUGUACACAAGUUGAUCCAUUCAUGCACACCACCCUGGCUGCAUUCAGUAUGGGUGUGUAUAAAACACUGUUUCUGCCUAGAGACACGCUCGCUCUCACGUAUGAUGGUGCAUACGUUGAGCAGAAUAAGACAUUUUCAAACGUCUCUAUUGAAUGGCUUCAAUCUGUGUCCCACACCACCAGCACAGUGAUAAAACACGCUCUCAGAGGAGGUGAACAGAGGGUUGGGCCAUAUUUUGUGGACGGCUUUGACCCCACAACUAAUACGGCUUACGAAUUUGCAGGAUGUUUUCACCACGGAUGUGUUAAAUGCUACCCCGAGAGUGAAGUAAAUCCUGUCAGCAAAGCGUCCUACGGACUGCUGCAUCGUAUGUUUUGUGACAAAGUGGAUGCACUGAAAUCACAAUACAGUUUGAGCGUUGUUGUGAUGUGGGAGUGCGAAUGGGCUGCCUUGAAGCAGACAGACCCUGCAGUUGUGGCUUUCAUGCAUACAUACAGAAAGCCAGAACGCCUGAACCCCCGAGACGCCCUUUUUGGCGGUCGCACAAAUGCUAUAAAACUGUACCACAAGGUUGCGUGUGAUGAAAAAAUAUUUUACUACGAUUUCACCAGUCUCUAUCCCACGGUGCAAUCUAAAAAAGAUUAUCCUGUAGGACAUCCUCAAAUCAUUUACAGCAACUUUGACAAGCUAGAAAAUUAUUUCGGCUUUGUUAAAUGCACAGUACUGCCACCAAGAGGGCUUUUUCACCCCGUCCUUCCCUACAGGUGCCACGGCAAACUGAUGUUUCCACUCUGCAGCAUGUGCGCUGAAGACCAGAACCAGCACACUGCAUGCGGGCACAGUGACAGUGAACGGGUGUUGAAAGGUACAUGGGUCUCAUUUGAGCUUGAAAAAGCUGUUGAGAAAGGAUACAAGCUUGUUUCUAUUGAUGAGGUGUGGCAUUUCCCCAACAAGACCGACACAUUGUUUAAAGACUAUGUGAAAGCCUUUCUAAAACUUAAACAGGAGGCCUCGGGGUAUCCAGAACAUGUGAAAACCCCUGACGAACAGCAAAAGUACAUAGCCGAGUAUUAUGAAAAGGAGGGAAUAAUAUGUGUAAAUAAAGCCGUUCGAAACUGCAACAAGCUGCUGCUAAACUCUUUAUGGGGUCGUUUCAGUAUGAGGUCAAACAUGGCGUCAUCUGAGCUCAUCACAGACCCGUCCAGGUUUAGUCAGCUAAUGUUCAGCGACCAGUACGACGUGCGGCAGUUUUGUUUCAUCUCUGACGACGUCGCCAUGGUGCAGUGGCGCCACGCCGAUGGUAGAGCAUCCCGCGUCAAGGACGUUAAUGUCUUUGUGGGUGCCAUGACCACUGCACACGCCAGACUCAUGUUGUAUGAUUUGUUAGACAACUUGCAACAGCGCAUGCUGUAUUGUGAUACAGACAGUGUCAUUUUCACAGCACGCCCUGGCGACUGGAUGCCUCCUCUUGGCCCUUUUCUGGGUGAUCUCACCAGUGAAUUAGCUUCUGGACAGGGAGGUGUGGAGGAUCACAUAGUAGAAUUUGUUUCCGGUGGGCCAAUAUGCUACGCGUAUCACACAUCGCUGGGCAAAACCCAGGUCAAAUGUAAAGUUGUAACACUGAACACACAAAACUCCAAAGUUGUCACCCACAAAUCCUUGAAAGGUUUAGUCCACAAGUUUGUAGCCAAUCAGGCAUCAGACGCACACCUAGUGGCUGUGUCUGAUAAUAUCAAACGAGAUAAAAAGAAGCUUCAUUUGAAGAAUGUAUCCGUUGUGAAGAAGCUUAAAGUUGUCUACAACAAGCGCCGUGUGCUCCCAGACUACACAACCCUGCCUUAUGGAUUUUAA
Oreochromis niloticus (Nile tilapia) is the source of this 4083-nucleotide long non-coding RNA. NCBI's taxonomy places the organism in Eukaryota, Metazoa, Chordata, Actinopteri, Cichliformes, Cichlidae. The record is from Ensembl.